UGAACGCUGGCGGCAUGCUUUACACAUGCAAGUCGAACGGUAACAGGCCUUCGGGUGCUGACGAGUGGCGAACGGGUGAGUAAUGCAUCGGAACGUACCCAGAGGUUGGGGAUAACGCAGCGAAAGCUGUGCUAAUACCGCAUGUGAUCUGAGGAUGAAAGCGGGGGACCGAGCAGCAAUGUUUGGCCUCGCGCCUUUGGAGCGGCCGAUGUCGGAUUAGCUAGUUGGUGGGGUAAAGGCCUACCAAGGCGACGAUCCGUAGCUGGUCUGAGAGGACGACCAGCCACACUGGGACUGAGACACGGCCCAGACUCCUACGGGAGGCAGCAGUGGGGAAUUUUGGACAAUGGGCGCAAGCCUGAUCCAGCAAUGCCGCGUGCGGGAAGAAGGCCUUCGGGUUGUAAACCGCUUUUGGCAGGAACGAAACGGUGUCCGCUAAUACCGGGCGCUAAUGACGGUACCUGCAGAAUAAGCACCGGCUAACUACGUG
Molecule: ribosomal RNA, 490 nt
Filed under: uncultured bacterium
Lineage: Bacteria
Description: partial 16S ribosomal RNA
Rfam family: Bacterial small subunit ribosomal RNA
Source: RNAcentral